AUUGAACGCUGGCGGCAUGCCUUACACAUGCAAGUCGAACGGCAGCACGGGAGCAAUCCUGGUGGCGAGUGGCGAACGGGUGAGUAAUAUAUCGGAACGUGCCCAGUCGUGGGGAUAACGUAGCGAAAGCUACGCUAAUACCGCAUACGAUCUAUGGAUGAAAGCGGGGGAUCGCAAGACCUCGCGCGAUUGGAGCGGCCGAUAUCAGAUUAGGUAGUUGGUGAGGUAAAGGCUCACCAAGGCGACGAUCAGUAGCUGGUUUGAGAGAACGACCAGCCACACUGGAACUGAGACACGGUCCAGACUCCUACGGGAGGCAGCAGUGGGGAAUUUUGGGACAAUGGGGGGCAACCCUGAUCCAGCAAUGCCGCGUGAGUGAA
RNAcentral lists this ribosomal RNA (380 nucleotides) under uncultured bacterium. Its description in RNAcentral is "bacterial SSU rRNA". It matches the Rfam family "Bacterial small subunit ribosomal RNA", at positions 30 to 409 of the family's 1533-position model. The record is from RNAcentral.